Molecule: ribosomal RNA, 1367 nt
Filed under: uncultured bacterium
Lineage: Bacteria
Description: bacterial SSU rRNA
Rfam family: Bacterial small subunit ribosomal RNA
Source: RNAcentral
GACGAACGCUGGCGGCGUGCCUAAUACAUGCAAGUAGAACGCUGAAGAGAGGAGCUUGCUCUUCUUGGAUGAGUUGCGAACGGGUGAGUAACGCGUAGGUAACCUGCCUUGUAGCGGGGGAUAACUAUUGGAAACGAUAGCUAAUACCGCAUAACAAUGGAUGACACAUGUCAUUUAUUUGAAAGGGGCAAUUGCUCCACUACAAGAUGGACCUGCGUUGUAUUAGCUAGUAGGUGAGGUAACGGCUCACCUAGGCGACGAUACAUAGCCGACCUGAGAGGGUGAUCGGCCACACUGGGACUGAGACACGGCCCAGACUCCUACGGGAGGCAGCAGUAGGGAAUCUUCGGCAAUGGGGGCAACCCUGACCGAGCAACGCCGCGUGAGUGAAGAAGGUUUUCGGAUCGUAAAGCUCUGUUGUAAGUCAAGAACGAGUGUGAGAGUGGAAAGUUCACACUGUGACGGUAGCUUACCAGAAAGGGACGGCUAACUACGUGCCAGCAGCCGCGGUAAUACGUAGGUCCCGAGCGUUGUCCGGAUUUAUUGGGCGUAAAGCGAGCGCAGCGGUUUGAUAAGUCUGAAGUUAAGGCUGUGGCUCAACCAUAGUUCGCUUUGGAAACUGUCAAACUUGAGUGCAGAAGGGGAGAGUGGAAUUCCAUGUGUAGCGGUGAAAUGCGUAGAUAUAUGGAGGAACACCGGUGGCGAAAGCGGCUCUCUGGUCUGUAACUGACGCUGAGGCUCGAAAGCGUGGGGAGCGAACAGGAUUAGAUACCCUGGUAGUCCACGCCGUAAACGAUGAGUGCUAGGUGUUGGAUCCUUUCCGGGAUUCAGUGCCGCAGCUAACGCAUUAAGCACUCCGCCUGGGGAGUACGACCGCAAGGUUGAAACUCAAAGGAAUUGACGGGGGCCCGCACAAGCGGUGGAGCAUGUGGUUUAAUUCGAAGCAACGCGAAGAACCUUACCAGGUCUUGACAUCCCGAUGCUAUUUCUAGAGAUAGAAAGUUACUUCGGUACAUCGGUGACAGGUGGUGCAUGGUUGUCGUCAGCUCGUGUCGUGAGAUGUUGGGUUAAGUCCCGCAACGAGCGCAACCCCUAUUGUUAGUUGCCAUCAUUCAGUUGGGCACUCUAGCGAGACUGCCGGUAAUAAACCGGAGGAAGGUGGGGAUGACGUCAAAUCAUCAUGCCCCUUAUGACCUGGGCUACACACGUGCUACAAUGGUUGGUACAACGAGUUGCGAGUCGGUGACGGCAAGCUAAUCUCUUAAAGCCAAUCUCAGUUCGGAUUGUAGGCUGCAACUCGCCUACAUGAAGUCGGAAUCGCUAGUAAUCGCGGAUCAGCACGCCGCGGUGAAUACGUUCCCGGGCCU